Molecule: unclassified non-coding RNA, 218 nt
Filed under: Ascomycota sp.
Lineage: Eukaryota; Fungi; Ascomycota
Description: partial contains small subunit ribosomal RNA, internal transcribed spacer 1, and 5.8S ribosomal RNA
Rfam family: Eukaryotic small subunit ribosomal RNA (bases 1-47)
Source: RNAcentral
AAAGUCGUAACAAGGUUUCCGUAGGUAAACCUGCAGAAGGAUCAUUAUCGUGGGGCUUCAGCCCUCUCAAGAUAGAACCCUUGCCUUUUUAAGUACCUUUCGUUUCCUCGGCGGGCUCGCCCGCCAAUAGGGACCACAAUAAACCCUUUGUAAUACCUGUAAUCGUCUAACAAAACAAACAAAAAUUAAAACUUUCAACAACGGAUCUCUUAGUUCUA